Molecule: transfer RNA, 75 nt
Filed under: Tidjanibacter sp.
Lineage: Bacteria; Pseudomonadati; Bacteroidota; Bacteroidia; Bacteroidales; Rikenellaceae
Description: tRNA-Pro
Rfam family: tRNA
About the family: Transfer RNA (tRNA) molecules are approximately 80 nucleotides in length. Their secondary structure includes four short double-helical elements and three loops (D, anti-codon, and T loops).
Source: RNAcentral
CGGGGUGUAGCUCAGCCCGGUUAGAGUACACGUCUGGGGGGCGUGGUGUCGCUUGUUCGAAUCAAGUCACCCCGA